UUUUUGUGUUUCUUUUUAUGUUUGUGCCAAGCAAAACCUUUAUGACUAGUUUUGGUGAUGGUUGUUCGAUCUUGCUGAAAAAGACAGAAACUUUGUGCUCACGAAAUUAUUUUCAAUUCUUAUCCAGAAAGAGCUUUUGAGUUGAUUAUUUUUUCUGUUGGUUGAUAUUCCAAUUGCCCUAAUUUUCAUAUUUUUUCAGAAUUUUUGAGAUACCAGAAGUAUACGAAGUAUACAGAUUGCUACAGACUG
RNAcentral lists this long non-coding RNA (249 nucleotides) under Hordeum vulgare. RNAcentral describes it as "long non-coding RNA (HVUL_LNC009605)". The record is from RNAcentral. Lineage: Eukaryota; Viridiplantae; Streptophyta; Magnoliopsida; Poales; Poaceae.